This 433-nucleotide ribosomal RNA is filed under the name uncultured bacterium. RNAcentral's name for it is "partial 16S ribosomal RNA". It matches the Rfam family "Bacterial small subunit ribosomal RNA", at positions 29 to 507 of the family's 1533-position model. The record is from RNAcentral.
AACGAACGCUGGCGGCAGGCUUAACACAUGCAAGUCGAGCGAGACCUUCGGGUCUAGCGGCGGACGGGUGAGUAACGCGUGGGAACGUGCCCUUCUCUACGGAAUAGCCCCGGGAAACUGGGAGUAAUACCGCAUACGCCCUUUGGGGGAAAGAUUUAUCGGAGAAGGAUCGGCCCGCGUUGGAUUAGGUAGUUGGUGGGGUAAUGGCCCACCAAGCCGACGAUCCAUAGCUGGUUUGAGAGGAUGAUCAGCCACGCUGGGACUGAGACACGGCCCAGACUCCUACGGGAGGCAGCAGUGGGGAAUCUUAGACAAUGGGGGCAACCCUGAUCGAGCCAUGCCGCGUGAGUGAUGAAGGCCUUAGGGUUGUAAAGCUCUUUCAGCUGGGAAGAUAAUGACGGUACCAGCAGAAGAAGCCCCGGCUAACUCCGUG